RNAcentral lists this long non-coding RNA (1283 nucleotides) under Lonchura striata (white-rumped munia). RNAcentral's name for it is "domestica (Bengalese finch) lncRNA (ENSLSDG00000011260.1)". The record is from RNAcentral. Lineage: Eukaryota; Metazoa; Chordata; Aves; Passeriformes; Estrildidae.
UCACCCAAGUUCACUCAUUUUUGUUGAUGUGCUGGCAAUAAUAACAUUUUUGUGAACGAUUUCACCCAAAUCCACUCAUUUUCUGUUGGUGUGAUGGCAAUAAUAACAUUUUUGUGAACGAUUUCACCCAAGUUCACUCAUUUUUGUUGAUGUGCUGGCAAUAAUAACAGUUUUGUGAGUGAUUUCACCCAAAUUCACUCAUUUUUGUUGAUGUGCUGGCAAUAAUAACAGUUUUGUGAACGAUUUCACCCCAAUCCACUCAUUUUUUUGUUGAUGUGCUGGCAAUAAUAACAUUUUUACCUCCGUUUCCAGCCUGAAAAUCCCUCCUGUCUCUUUUUUUCUGCCCAGCAUGUCCUGAGCGGGAGCAGCACGGAGGAAUGGAGUAGGAGAAGGAGCAGCCUGGCACUCGCCCACCUCAACGACCUUUGGGGACAAAACCUCGCCACCACCUUCUUCCAAGUCCUGCAAAUCCUGGAGCCUCCUCUGCCUCCAAGUUGCAAAAUCCUUUAAAUUUUGGGAAUCACUUUUUUGUUGUUUUUUUAAAAGAAGAAGAAGAAGAACAAAAACCAAACAAACCCCCCCAAAAAAUCCCCAAGCAAGAACAGCACUUUGCAGGUUCUGGUGUGUUUAGGGACUGGUGUGUGGGGAGCAUUGCCACGGUGCAAAUACUCACUGUGUAUCCUCGGAGUAAGUCCAGAGCAUCCUCCAGCUCAUGAAUCUCCAGCCCAGAAAGAGAAUUUAUUUUUGGUUUGGGUGACAAACCCUUCCCUUGGCUCGCUGCUGGCCAGCGUGGAGAUCUUUGGCUUUGAGCUGCACCCCCAGCUCCUCCAGGACACCCCAAAAUCUGCCACCCCCGGGAACAGCGGCCACAGGCAGUGGGAAGAGCUUUUCCCUCUUUUUUCCACUCAGUGUGAGUUUCCUCCUGAGGAUUCCAAGUGCCCACGGCUUUUCCAGCUUCCACCAUCCUCCAGAACUCAUUCCCAGCAGGGAAUCCCGUGGUUUUCCCGUGGUUUUUUCCCUGGUUUGUCCCAUCCUGGUGCGUGAGGCUCUCUGAAGGGAUCCCACACGACCCCACAGAGCCUCUCCCGGGGCACACACCCCAGAGGCUCUGGGAUUUGGGAUUUGGGAUUUGGGGUUUGGGAUUUGGGGACCCUCACGGGACAGGGACGUUCUCCACAUCUCGUCCUCGUUGUGUUGUGCCACUGGAAUUCCCUCGCUGCUGGGACCUCCGAGGAGCUGCUGGAAUGUUGGGAGAGUCCCUCAAGAGGGGCUCACCCAGCAGA